CAUUGGGUCUAUCUGUGUGACGAUAAGACCAUUCAAUCAAUGUUAUUAUUUACAUCUGUGUUUCACAGUAUGUACAUUUACUCUGCUUUCUGUCCAGACUUUCAUAAUGAAGACACCAUUGGUUAACAAAGUACAAAACUUUAUUUUAUACUGUCAACAAACAUAAAAGUGCAGAUAAAAGUGUGCAGCUUUUGCAUGGAAAAGUGCAAACUUUAUGAACUUCAUUAUGAACAUGUCAUAGCGAACUCAGUCAUUAAUUCAAGUAUUCCUGCUUGCCUAUGUGAAAGGCUUUGCAUGGAAAAGUGCAACGUUUAUGAGCAUCAUUAUGAACGUGUCAUAGCAAACUCAAACAAUAAUGUAAUGAUAAAAAUGCACAAUCUAUUUCCUUGUAAUAGGAAAUAAAAACUUGCUCCACUGGCAAAUUAUUCUACUUAUUUUUUAGUGAAAGUUCGCUUGAAACAAGUGGUGAUUGUCUAAAAACAAGUUACUUUUUACAGGAUGAGUCUUAUUUUAAGUGUAAUAAGACUUAUUUUGACUAGAAAUUAGACAUUUUGACUAGAAAUAACACAAAUGCUCUUGGAAAAAUUUUACGUUUUUGCACUGAAGGUAGACCUGAUGUCCUUAAAGAAGUACGUCAUGUUUACAGACGUUGUAGCUUGCUAAUAUUACUCAAAUAUAUCAAAUAAGCAUGCCACGUGAAGCUACAGACAUUAUUGUGCAUAAAUAAACUAGUUUCAAUCAUAAAAUUUGAUUAGGAUUUUACCUUGUCCAUGUUUCUGUCGGGAGCUGCCGUAGAAGACAUUCGCUGUCAUCCCCGCCAUGUUGUUUUUUUCAAAUGAGUGUAAUUUCAUUAUGAGACCACUAGGUGGUGCAGGCAGGGCCCCCAGAUGAGGGCAAUUGGUCAAAAUUCUUACAAAUUAAGUAUCAUGGUGCAGAACAGCAAAAAUGUAAUGUCCUCAUAUGAGGAUGCAGGGUCUCAGGACGUUAAGAGAGGAAUG
Long non-coding RNA from Xiphophorus hellerii (green swordtail), 998 nucleotides. RefSeq lists it as uncharacterized. The transcript is spliced from 3 exons. The record is from RefSeq and is a predicted model, not a curated record. NCBI's taxonomy places the organism in Eukaryota, Metazoa, Chordata, Actinopteri, Cyprinodontiformes, Poeciliidae.